RNAcentral lists this ribosomal RNA (825 nucleotides) under uncultured beta proteobacterium. RNAcentral's name for it is "bacterial SSU rRNA". It matches the Rfam family "Bacterial small subunit ribosomal RNA", at positions 65 to 880 of the family's 1533-position model. Lineage: Bacteria; Pseudomonadati; Pseudomonadota; Betaproteobacteria. The record is from RNAcentral.
GACGGCAGCAUGGAGAGCUUGCUCUCUGAUGGCGAGUGGCGAACGGGUGAGUAAUAUAUCGGAACGUGCCUAGUAAUGGGGAACAACUAACCGAAAGGUUAGCUAAUACCGCAUACGACCUACGGGAGAAAGCAGGGGAUCUUCGGACCUUGCGUUACUAGAGCGGCCGAUAUCUGAUUAGGUAGUUGGUAGGGUAAAGGCCUACCAAGCCGACGAUCAGUAGCUGGUCUGAGAGGACGAUCAGCCACACUGGAACUGAGACACGGUCCAGACUCCUACGGGAGGCAGCAGUGGGGAAUUUUGGACAAUGGGGGCAACCCUGAUCCAGCCAUUCCGCGUGAGUGAAGAAGGCCUUCGGGUUGUAAAGCUCUUUCGCAAGAGAAGAAAUCUUACUAUCAAAUAAAUAGUAAGGAUGACGGUAUCUUGACAAGAAGCACCGGCUAACUAUGUGCCAGCAGCCGCGGUAAUACAUAGGGUGCGAGCGUUAAUCGGAAUUACUGGGCGUAAAGGGUGCGCAGGCGGUUUUGUAAGUCAGAUGUGAAAUCCCCGAGCUCAACUUGGGAACUGCGUUUGAAACUAUAAGACUAGAGUGUGUCAGAGGGGGGUAGAAUUCCACGUGUAGCAGUGAAAUGCGUAGAUAUGUGGAGGAAUACCAAUGGCGAAGGCAGCCCCCUGGGAUAACACUGACGCUCAUGCACGAAAGCGUGGGGAGCAAACAGGAUUAGAUACCCUGGUAGUCCACGCCCCUAACGAUGUCUACUAGUUGUUGGUGGAGUAAAAUCCAUGAGUAACGCAGCUAACGCGUGAAGUAGACCGCCUGGGGAG